RNAcentral lists this ribosomal RNA (385 nucleotides) under prasinophyte sp. RNAcentral describes it as "partial small subunit ribosomal RNA". It matches the Rfam family "Eukaryotic small subunit ribosomal RNA", at positions 582 to 975 of the family's 1831-position model. Lineage: Eukaryota; Viridiplantae; Chlorophyta. The record is from RNAcentral.
AUUCCAGCUCCAAUAGCGUAUAUUUAAGUUGUUGCAGUUAAAAAGCUCGUAGUUGGAUUUCGGGCCCAGGAGACCGGUCCGCCGUUUCGGUGUGCACUGGUUAGCUCGGUCUUUCUGCCGGGGACACGCUCCGUCUUAAUUGCCGGACGUGGAGUCGGCGAUGUUACUUUGAAAAAAUUAGAGUGUUCAAAGCAGGCUUACGCUCUGAAUACUAUAGCAUGGAAUAACACGAUAGGACUCCGGGCCUAUUUUGUUGGUCUUCGGGACCGGAGUAAUGAUUAAGAGGGACAGUUGGGGGCAUUCGUAUUACGGUGUCAGAGGUGAAAUUCUUGGAUUUCCGUAAGACGAACUUCUGCGAAAGCAUUUGCCAAGGAUGUUUUCAUUG